AUUGAACGCUGGCGGCAGGCUUAACACAUGCAAGUCGAGCGGGGGAAGGUAGCUUGCUACCGGACCUAGCGGCGGACGGGUGAGUAAUGCUUAGGAAUCUGCCUAUUAGUGGGGGACAACAUCUCGAAAGGGAUGCUAAUACCGCAUACGUCCUACGGGAGAAAGCAGGGGAUCUUCGGACCUUGCGCUAAUAGAUGAGCCUAAGUCAGAUUAGCUAGUUGGUGGGGUAAAGGCCUACCAAGGCGACGAUCUGUAGCGGGCCUGAGAGGAUGGUCCGCCACACUGGGACUGAGACACGGCCCAGACUCCUACGGGAGGCAGCAGUGGGGAAUAUUGGACAAUGGGGGGAACCCUGAUCCAGCCAUGCCGCGUGUGUGAAGAAGGCCUUAUGGUUGUAAAGCACUUUAAGCGAGGAGGAGGCUACUUUAGUUAAUACCUAGAGAUAGUGGACGUUACUCGCAGAAUAAGCACCGGCUAACUCUGUGCCAGCCGCCGCGGUAA
Molecule: ribosomal RNA, 501 nt
Filed under: uncultured bacterium
Lineage: Bacteria
Description: partial 16S ribosomal RNA
Rfam family: Bacterial small subunit ribosomal RNA
Source: RNAcentral